Molecule: long non-coding RNA, 605 nt
Organism: Pygocentrus nattereri (red-bellied piranha)
Lineage: Eukaryota; Metazoa; Chordata; Actinopteri; Characiformes; Serrasalmidae
Source: Ensembl
UCUACUGCAGGUGUUAUUCUUUCUUUCCGAUCUGUGCAGGUUUGUGAAGUGGGGGUGAUGACCACACCCCGCAGCAGCGCUGCGCUUUGCCUGCUGGGCCUGAGCCAACUGGCCCAGUAUGACAGUGACCCCAGCUCAGAAAGUGGUCAGGCAGCCAUGGCCGACGCCUGCCUCAGUUUUCAGGCUAGUAUCGCAUUGGAGGGAUCGGAAUUGACUGGAGAUCCUCCUGAGCAACUGACCAAGGUGCAGCCGCUAAGAGUGAUGGUGGAGGGAAGAGUGCAGCCAAGGCGAGUUCUAAAACUCAGCUGUCUUCCUGCAAGUCCAAACAGGAGUGCAGCCCUCCACAGGCUGAGCCAGCAGCAGCAUCAGUAAAAGAGGAGAGCAGUCUCAGUGGAGCGGCCACGCCAGCCAUUAUGAACGUGAAGUCGCAUGCUCCUCGGCUGGGAUUAGCCAGGGCCCUGUCUCGCUCCUCAGACUCGCACCAGCAGGCCUGCUGUCUCUACGAAGAAGUCAUCGCCAUGGCCCAAGAGGUCAAGUGAUAAAAAUCUAAUUUACCAAAAACGUCCUCCCCAGUUAAUCAACCAGACCUGUUUGAUGUUUGUACU